UAUUUAAACUUAAGUGUAGUUUAUUAAUUUCUUAUUUAAGGGUAAAAUCUAUAUAUAAAUAAAUAAUUCAAUAUAAACUAAUAUCUAUACAUUGAUUCUGCGAAAGCCUUGAGGGAAACUGGGAUUAGAUACCCCAUUAUUCUUGGGAGUAAAUAAACGUGAGUUUACCAGAGUACUAUGAAUUCUUAAACAAAUUUAAAACUCAAAGGGCUUGGCGGUGUUUUAGACCUUUCAGGGGAACCUGUCUCAUAAUCGACAAUCCACGUUAGACCUAACCUUUUUUUGCUAAUUCAGUUUGUAUACCGUCGUCGUCAGGUAACUUUUAAAAAAUAAGAAGUUAGCAACAAAAUAAUUUUUAUUUCAACGUCAGAUCAAGGUGCAGCUAAUAUAAAGGUGAGGAUGGGUUACAAUUAUAAAUUAUAAUUACGGAUGAGGAGUUGAAAUACUACUUUUUAAAGGAGGACUUGAAAGUAAGAAGGAUUAUAUAAAUGUUUUGAAUAAGGCUCUGAAACAUGC
This 516-nucleotide ribosomal RNA is filed under the name Monoplex aquatilis. RNAcentral's name for it is "partial 12S ribosomal RNA". The record is from RNAcentral. Lineage: Eukaryota; Metazoa; Mollusca; Gastropoda; Littorinimorpha; Ranellidae.